Long non-coding RNA from Mesocricetus auratus (golden hamster), 4182 nucleotides. RefSeq lists it as uncharacterized. The transcript has 2 exons. The record is from RefSeq and is a predicted model, not a curated record. Lineage: Eukaryota; Metazoa; Chordata; Mammalia; Rodentia; Cricetidae.
UGGUUCUCCUAGUGCCCUGCCAGGGGCUUUCCUGUCUGAGGGAGCUAAGCUGAGGAGAGCUGGGCCUCCCGGAUGAGGAUUUCUGCAAGCUGGGCCAGGCUGUGGGGGCCGCAUCCUGGCAAGAUAGGAGAGUGUCCUCCAGGCACCUUGAGACCAUCUACCACAUGAAGAUUGGUACAGGAGGGCCUCCCCUGGAUGUCAGACGGCCAAGGUAGAUCACUUUGCUGUGAGACCAGACACCGCCUCUUCUGUUACGGCUGGAUGAGGAAACCCAGUAGGAGGAAUGGGACCCAAAAGCGGGCAGCAGAGUCAGAGACAGCCGCUGCUCCCACAGUCAGGAGUCCCCUAAGACCACUUACACAGCUGUAGCACAUCUGCAGAGGGCCUAGGUCAGUCCCACGCAGGCUCCCUGGCGGUCAGUUCAGUCUCUGUGAGCCCCUGUGAGCUCAGGUGAGUAGAUUCUGUGGGUUUCUUGUGGUGUCCUUCUGGCUCCUACAACCCUUCCUCCCUGUCUUCUGCAGGAUUCCCUGAGCUCUUCCUAGUGUUCAGCUGUGGGUGUCUGCCACAGGGGACCUGGGAGGAGAUUGGGGUACUGCCUUAAGGACCUUCCAGGUGACGGUCUGGACCUCUGCCCAAGCUGGGUCCCGGCUUUCUCGGUGAGGGUGUAACCCAGCCUCCAGUCUACCCCUGCCACGGAAACCCUGGCUGUGACAGACACAGACCUGAGAGCCCCAUUUCUGUCCUGCAGUUGCUGAGCCACUAAGCUGUCCCAGCCUGCUACAUUGUAUUGUAGUCACUGGUUCUUACUGAGCUGAUGGGGGACCUAGUGUUGAUUUCCAGAGCCUACCUUCACACUUUCAAGCCCAGUCCCAGUGAGCUCAGGGAGCCUCAGGGUGCUCCAUGUCCUUGCGCCUGGUGGCCAUGAAGUCAGAGACACCCCAAAGUUAUUCAGGGUAAACGCCACAGAUCCCAUUCCCUGCCCUACUUUGCCUCAGAAGAGACCAGUCACUUGUUUGGAACAAAAUGUAAGAGGCCACUAAACCCUCACUAAGCAAGACUGACAACAUUUUAGCACAAUACUGUUCAGAACCAGAACAAAGGCACAGCUUGUGAGAAAAAAAAACUCGAACUUUUCAGCAAGUCAGGAUGCCCUGCCCUGAGUCCUCACUCCAAGCAGGCAGAAGGACCCAGGGAAGUCAGGCAGAAGCUGGCCCACCUCCACCUCCGCCUCCGCAACAUGGUCUCCAUAGUGACUGGUUUGGGGAGGUGGAUGAGGUGUCCCCAGGAAGGGGAAUCCCUGUAGGAAGAGGAUAUGAACUUCCUCCCCCAGGAAACACAUGCCAAGAUGUGAAAGGAAACUCCCCCAGGGGCUUUCCCGGGUCAGACCUGGGCUGGCUUUCCCCCAGUUUGGAUUUAGACAGAGUCCCCAGGGCACAGGACAGAAACCCCUAUCCUCCUGCAUCCCGUGCCACGUCCAGGAGAAGCCCCAUCUCUCUCCUCCAGGAGGAACGUGGAAGGUCCUGGAUUUCCUGUUUCCUCCGGUGUUUCCAGCUGCUGUGGGGAGCUGACUUUAAUGGGAAAAAAGCCAAGAUACGUUUCCAGAAUCUGGUUGGAUUUCUUGAUUUAAAGUCGUCACCAGUCGCUGGGACACUGGAGGGAGAGUGGAGUUGUUCCCAGUUGCCAACGGCUUCAAAGGUCUGGGAAGUCCCCUCCACGGCAGUUACCCUGUGAGGAGAGCAGGACUGGACUUGCUGCUCUGUUAAUGCGGGGUCACUGAGUAGCUCUUCGCAAGGAGCCUGUAUGGAGGACUUGGGCUGCCUCUAAUAUCAGUGUGGACGGGGUAGGGAAGGGGCAGAGAGUGAGUACUGACCCGAGAGCCUCAGAGACCAGUAGUUGGAGCCGCCUGACAGCAGCUAUGGCUUCUAGUGAAAGGACACUGGCAAGCCCUCGCCCCCUGGAGUAUAGACUAAAUGCAGGGACCUCCAGAGAAAUGAACUACAGGCCUUGGAUGGUCCUCCCCAUCUGUGAGUGGGUUCACAUACUUGGACUCAGCCAGCCGGAUGCCCAAGUCAUAUAUGCAAUGUCAGUGUUUGCUCAUGACCCACAUGUGCCGUCCCAAGAGCUUGGAAACUCACUCCACACAGUGCCAGUCAGCCAUCUGCUUGCAAGGGUCAGUUGAGGAAACAAAGUCUGCCUGCGUUGCGGCAGCAUCCUGACUUCAGUCCCCGUCCCUGAUCAGUUGGGUGUAGGACAUUAAAUCGCUGACAAAUGAGACAGAAUGCACACCUGAAUGAUGGAAGGUGACAUCUAUUUAUUUUAAGGACAGGUUGAAGGCGGGCUGAGAGCUGGAGACUAUAGAAGUCUUAAGGCAAAAUUCCUUCCUUGGAGAAGCCUGGGGAUUGCUCUUAGGGUCCCUCCUGACUGAGCCACGCCCAGCCAAACACUGGAGGCCCAGCCUCUUUACCAAGUUGACUGACAGCAGGUGAUGGCAAACACUUUCUGAAACAUCUGACUAAUCACUGGGUACUUCAGUCUGGCCCAGAUGAUCCAUUAAAUCAUCACAUCCCAACUUUACCUCUCCGGAAUGUCGUAGGUUUUUUUGGGUUUCCUGUUGACUAGGUACAAAGGAAGGCAGAGAACUCACUAGUGUCUGUCUCCACAGCCUCGUUAGAGAGAGGUCAAUGCAAGAGUUCAAAGCUCCCAGGCAUACAGAAGCUCACUGCAUACCAACCUGGAAUAAUGUAUCCAAAGGGCUUAGCCUGGAAUUCUGGGUCUGUAAGAACUACUCAGAACAGGGUCACCUGCUGGAGAGAGUACCUCGUGCUCUUGUUGUAGAAGCUGGGGUGGUGGCCUUACCUGUCUCCCACCAGGCUCCUGCCUCGUGCACACAGCCUGCCCAUCACAAUGCAGGGACUGGACGGCUUGCUGGCACAGCUAGUCUUCUUCCCAGAGCCUUGUGAUAGCAUCUUAGAGGACUCUCCAGUAUGUCUGAGCCUGCAUUCCUGAUGGGACACCUCCUAUGGGCCUCAUGCACAUGCGGGCUUUGGUAACCCCUUGGUAAUCUGCUGUGGAUUCGUUAGUCUUGGCAAUUAUUCAGUAACCAACGCUCCCAAACCUAUGGUUCCACGCUGUUACAAUGCACUCCAAAGGACUGGAUGGACAGGUCAGCUUUUCCUGCACUGGGGGAUCCUGGUUCCUCCACAGACAUACUUUCCAGAGGCCCACGGCGGGAGUAGAAGAUUGCAGUGUGGCCCACAGCCCAGGAAUAUUUUGGCAAGAAGGUACAUGUAUUACUUCUGCUCAGAGAUCCUUGGCCAUGGCUGGUCAUGUGAUCCUAAUCUAAUCACAAGGAAGGUUAGGGAGUGUGAAAAAAGACAAGUAGAUAUUUGGCCGACACUAGUGCCCUUCCCCCACACAUUGGUAAGGCAUCUGGGAGAGGGAGGUGGGGUGGGAACCGGUUCUCUCAUGGUACAGGAAAUCACCCCAAAGCCUAUGGGCUUCAGCACCCUGAGUUUGGAAGCCCCAGCUCUAUGGGUCCGCGUGCUCAGUGACUAUCAUGAACUUGUAACUGAGACGCUACAUGUGACUGGGUUGGGAAUACAUUUCUAUGAAGUGUCUCGUGUAGUUGGAGGCUUCAGCAUAUCAUGGCUGUUGGUUGUGGCUAAACCCCGGCCGUGUGAUGCACAACAUCUCCACAGGGUCUCCCCAUAAAUCAGAGCCAACACCCUCAGCAAAGAGAGCCAAGAUGGAGCAAGGUGGAAACCUGUCACGUGUGACCUGGUGGCGGCCAACACCAUCACACAGACCAGCAGCCUCAGUGCUGUUAGAGUCCAGUGAUGUGUGAUAUACUGUGUUAAUUUUCCUGGCCCAGGAGGUACCUGCUUGGAUAGGCAUGGCUUCAGGUUGUGGCGUGAGCAGGAUGGCCUGGGAAUUGGUGGCUGAGAGAGGGACAGGCUUCCCCAAUAUGAGGGACUCUUUCAGUCUGCUGGCGGCCUGGGGAGACCCAAGAGCCAUUGGAGGGGACUCAGUCUCUGCCUGGAGUCCUUCAAGCUGUGCUGUUUUGCUUACCUAUCUUCAGACUUGAACUGGAGUCACCCAUGGGCUUUCCUGUAUAAUGUUCUCUCUACAAUCAUGUGCAACCAUUUCUUAUGACAAAUAAACACAUAGCUGGUUGUCUCUGUG